Molecule: ribosomal RNA, 108 nt
Filed under: Nostoc sp. HG1
Lineage: Bacteria; Bacillati; Cyanobacteriota; Cyanophyceae; Nostocales; Nostocaceae
Description: partial 16S ribosomal RNA
Rfam family: Bacterial small subunit ribosomal RNA
Source: RNAcentral
CUCCAACCAUUCGUGGAGGAGGAUGCCUAAGGCAGGACCUGGUGACUGGGGUGAAAGUCGUAACAAGGUAGCCGUACCGGAACGGUGUGGCUGGACACCUCCUUUUAG